GAUGAACGCUGGCGGCGUGCCUAAUACAUGCAAGUCGAGCGAACAGAUGAGGAGCUUGCUCCUCUGACGUUAGCGGCGGACGGGUGAGUAACACGUGGAUAACCUACCUAUAAGACUGGGAUAACUUCGGGAAACCGGAGCUAAUACCGGAUAAUAUAUUGAACCGCAUGGUUCAAUAGUGAAAGACGGUUUUGCUGUCACUUAUAGAUGGAUCCGCGCCGCAUUAGCUAGUUGGUAAGGUAACGGCUUACCAAGGCAACGAUGCGUAGCCGACCUGAGAGGGUGAUCGGCCACACUGGAACUGAGACACGGUCCAGACUCCUACGGGAGGCAGCAGUAGGGAAUCUUCCGCAAUGGGCGAAAGCCUGACGGAGCAACGCCGCGUGAGUGAUGAAGGUCUUCGGAUCGUAAAACUCUGUUAUUGGGGAAGAACAAAUGUGUAAGUAACUAUGCACGUCUUGACGGUACCUAAUCAGUAAGCCACGGCUAACUACGUG
This 497-nucleotide ribosomal RNA is filed under the name uncultured bacterium. RNAcentral's name for it is "partial 16S ribosomal RNA". It matches the Rfam family "Bacterial small subunit ribosomal RNA", at positions 28 to 507 of the family's 1533-position model. The record is from RNAcentral.